This 450-nucleotide ribosomal RNA is filed under the name uncultured bacterium. RNAcentral's name for it is "partial 16S ribosomal RNA". It matches the Rfam family "Bacterial small subunit ribosomal RNA", at positions 354 to 796 of the family's 1533-position model. The record is from RNAcentral.
GUGGGGAAUAUUGGACAAUGGGCGCAAGCCUGAUCCAGCAAUGCCGCGUGCAGGAAGAAGGCCUUCGGGUUGUAAACUGCUUUUGUACGGAACGAAAAGGCUCUGGCUAAUACCUGGAGCUCAUGACGGUACCGUAAGAAUAAGCACCGGCUAACUACGUGCCAGCAGCCGCGGUAAUACGUAGGGUGCGAGCGUUCAUCGGAAUUACUGGGCGUAAAGCGUGCGCAGGCGGUGCUGUAAGACAGGCGUGAAAUCCCCGGGCUAAACCUGGGAAUUGCGCUUGUGACUGCAGCGCUGGAGUGCGGCAGAGGGGGAUGGAAUUCCGCGUGUAGCAGUGAAAUGCGUAGAUAUGCGGAGGAACACCGAUGGCGAAGGCAAUCCCCUGGGCCUGCACUGACGCUCAUGCACGAAAGCGUGGGGAGCAAACAGGAUUAGAAACCCUGGUAGUCC